GACGAACGCUGGCGGCGUGCUUAACACAUGCAAGUCGAACGGAAAGGCCCUGCUUUUGUGGGGUGCUCGAGUGGCGAACGGGUGAGUAACACGUGAGUAACCUGCCCUUGACUUUGGGAUAACUUCAGGAAACUGGGGCUAAUACCGGAUAGGAGCUCCUGCUGCAUGGUGGGGGUUGGAAAGUUUCGGCGGUUGGGGAUGGACUCGCGGCUUAUCAGCUUGUUGGUGGGGUAGUGGCUUACCAAGGCUUUGACGGGUAGCCGGCCUGAGAGGGUGACCGGCCACAUUGGGACUGAGAUACGGCCCAGACUCCUACGGGAGGCAGCAGUGGGGAAUAUUGCACAAUGGGCGGAAGCCUGAUGCAGCAACGCCGCGUGCGGGAUGACGGCCUUUGGGUUGUAAACCGCUUUCGCCUGUGACGAAGCGUGAGUGACGGUAAUGGGUAAAGAAGCGCCGGCUAACUACGUG
RNAcentral lists this ribosomal RNA (468 nucleotides) under uncultured bacterium. RNAcentral describes it as "partial 16S ribosomal RNA". It matches the Rfam family "Bacterial small subunit ribosomal RNA", at positions 28 to 507 of the family's 1533-position model. The record is from RNAcentral.